Oreochromis aureus is the source of this 1667-nucleotide long non-coding RNA. The record is from Ensembl. NCBI's taxonomy places the organism in Eukaryota, Metazoa, Chordata, Actinopteri, Cichliformes, Cichlidae.
AGAGGUGAGCGGUGUUACCAGAUCCAUGUUAUGUUGAGUGUUGUUAAUUGAAUUGAUUUGGGGGGAAGUUUUGUUAAGUUGCAUAUUAAAUUAAGUUCACUGUAAAUAAAUUGCUCACCUCUGGAAACCUGAAAUGUCUGCGUAGUCUGCUUCCCUACCACCUUUCUUGACGUUCGAGUCUGACUACCCCACACCCCCACCCACGUGUGCAGAUGAGGACGCACCUCCACCUGUGGGAUCUGAAAACACUCGCAGCCACAAGUUCGGGCACAGCUGGCUCAGACUGCAGAGCUUCAGGCACAGACAUUAGUUUUGUAGUUGGUUUGUAGGUUGGAGUAACCGGGCCAUAAACUCUAAAAGCAGCGCAGGUCAGUCUCAGACACAUCUCCAGCCACCUCCACCUUUUCUUCAUCCACACCGCUGGACCUGUCUAACUCCGCCCAAACCAUCAGGCGUCCUGGGAACGCUGUCACGGACAAUCUGUCACCUCCAGAUGUUUCCCCUGCAGUCACCCACCUAUCCCCUUUAAAUGGCACAGCUGCUUUUACCACCGACCAGUCACUCGCCUCGGAGACCUCGUCAGGUGGAGGUGACUCCCUAGUCAGGACGGAGGUGGUCACGUCGUCGUACAAGUCAUGGUCCUCCAUCACUAGAAACCAGUCCAAGUCGAGCGGAGGUGAAGGCAUGACGCUGGGUUCCUCACGUGUGAGCACAGGUGGAGCAACAGACGUCAUAACUGAGUUACAACCUGAGGAUGGAUCCACACACCAAACAUCUGCAGCAUCCUCAGACAGCACCGCCUCAGCUGCACCCACCACCACCACUCCUCCACCGUCUGCAUCCAGCACCAGCACACAUAGACCACCCAGGACUCACGGCCAGACCCCACCCACACACACAGACUCCACCCUUCAUCCAAACAUCUCAGAGAGUCUGACUCAAGGAGUAUUAUCAACAGCACCAACAGGUGAUGCAGUCACUGCAAGUAGCACCUCAGCUCCAUCAGUCCCACAAACGAGUACAACAAACAUCAGCACCACCGCUGCUGUAACCACACCCUCUCGGAGCAGCAUAACAGCACCUGCUCCAACCACAGCCAUCAAAACCACAUCUCCUACAGCCGCCAGUAGCACCACCCCUGUCACAACCGCAGAGACUACAGUCGCACCACCCAUAACAACACCAGCAACUACACACACAACCAUCCCUCCGCCAGCUAGAACAGCCAGCUUGACACAUACCAUCCAAACGUCCACUGGUGCCUCCACUCCCGCUACAACUGCAGGAACCAUACCCAUACCCACAGCCACGAAGCCGUCUCUAACCACAGCCGUCAAAACCACACCUACCACUGCCAGUACCACCACCCCCACCACAACCACUGAGACUGCACCCAUACUAUUCAUAACAACAUCAGCAACUACACCUACAUCCAUGUCACCAUCUCAUACCACAGUCACCAAAACCACACCACCCACCACUUCCGGUGAUAGUUUCCCAGUUACAACUGCAGAUACUACAACCACCACGAGCAUCAUAACAACGUCCGCAACAACCACCCCACCUACGACUGCUACAGCAUCUCCUGCUACAACCACCCCACCUACGACUGCUACAGCAUCUCCUGCUACAACCACCCCACCUACGACUGCUACAGCAUCUCCUGC